AAUUCCGUGGUAAAUAUUUUAUUUUUUUCACUUUUUCUCUAUGACUUUUAAAAAUCUAUAUUUUGCUCUUUUAAAAUUUUAGAAAUAUUUUUAGAAAAGUACAACGUUAAUAAAGAGGGCAAAAUGACCAAAUUAUCUUUACUUCUUCUAAAAGAAAAAAAUAAUUUUUAAUAAAUUUCUAUCAUUAUGAAGGGUAUUUUCGGUUUUUGAUUUUGAGAGAUAGGUAACACGCUACCCGCUUCAUUUAUUUAUUUCAUUUAGAAUUAAACUUAACUGGAAAUGUGAAUCAACUAGGAUUUGAACUUGGAUCUCAUGUAUCAACCACCAAGUCCUUUUCCACUUGCUCUAGGGACGGUCAGUGGUUAUUUUCGGUACUAAUUAUAAAAAAUUGAUCAAAUAGUGAUGGAACCUUGACGGAGAGCGGCUAAAUGCAACAACUUUAAAUAUUGAGAGUGUAAAAUAUAGAUUUCCGAAAGUUAAGGAGUCAAAGUGAAAAAGCAGAUAUUUAUAAAGGGAUUUUAUGUAAUUUAGACUAAUUUUAUUACAAAU
Molecule: long non-coding RNA, 549 nt
Filed under: Ananas comosus (pineapple)
Lineage: Eukaryota; Viridiplantae; Streptophyta; Magnoliopsida; Poales; Bromeliaceae
Description: long non-coding RNA (ACOM_LNC036798)
Source: RNAcentral